UUUACACAUGCAAGUCGAACGGUAACAGGGUGCUUGCACCGCUGACGAGUGGCGAACGGGUGAGUAAUGCGUCGGAACGUGCCGAGUAGUGGGGGAUAACGCAGCGAAAGUUGUGCUAAUACCGCAUACGUACUGAGGUAGAAAGUGGGGGACCUUCGGGCCUCACGCUAUUCGAGCGGCCGACGUCUGAUUAGCUAGUAGGUGAGGUAAAGGCUCACCUAGGCGACGAUCAGUAGCGGGUCUGAGAGGAUGAUCCGCCACACUGGGACUGAGACACGGCCCAGACUCCUACGGGAGGCAGCAGUGGGGAAUUUUGGACAAUGGGCGAAAGCCUGAUCCAGCCAUGCCGCGUGUCUGAAGAAGGCCUUCGGGUUGUAAAGGACUUUUGUCAGGGAGGAAAUCCCUAGUGCUAAUAACNCUGGGGGAUGACAGUACCUGAAGAAUAAGCACCGGCUAACUACGUGCCAGCAGCCG
This 474-nucleotide ribosomal RNA is filed under the name uncultured bacterium. RNAcentral describes it as "bacterial SSU rRNA". It matches the Rfam family "Bacterial small subunit ribosomal RNA", at positions 48 to 517 of the family's 1533-position model. The record is from RNAcentral.